Molecule: unclassified non-coding RNA, 164 nt
Filed under: uncultured Geoglossum
Lineage: Eukaryota; Fungi; Ascomycota; Geoglossomycetes; Geoglossales; Geoglossaceae
Description: sequence contains ITS2
Source: RNAcentral
UAAAACCUCAAGCCUUGCUUGGUAUUGGGUUUUCGUCUCUCCUGUCUUCUCUGUACACAGGUAGUGACGUGCCUGAAAAUCAAUGGGGGUGCCUCAAUAGCCUCAAGCGUAGUAGACUGACUCGCUUUGGAGAAGCUGUUGUAGGCCCUGCAAAUAAAUAACAA